This 620-nucleotide ribosomal RNA is filed under the name Streptomyces sp. RNAcentral's name for it is "bacterial SSU rRNA". It matches the Rfam family "Bacterial small subunit ribosomal RNA", at positions 254 to 886 of the family's 1533-position model. Lineage: Bacteria; Bacillati; Actinomycetota; Actinomycetes; Kitasatosporales; Streptomycetaceae. The record is from RNAcentral.
GGUUCGAAAGGUCUCACGCGAGACGGGUAGCCGGCCUGAGAGGGCGACCGGCCACACUGGGACUGAGACACGGCCCAGACUCCUACGGGAGGCAGCAGUGGGGAAUAUUGCACAAUGGGCGAAAGCCUGAUGCAGCGACGCCGCGUGAGGGAUGACGGCCUUCGGGUUGUAAACCUCUUUCAGCAGGGAAGAAGCGAAAGUGACGGUACCUGCAGAAGAAGCGCCGGCUAACUACGUGCCAGCAGCCGCGGUAAUACGUAGGGCGCAAGCGUUGUCCGGAAUUAUUGGGCGUAAAGAGCUCGUAGGCGGCUUGUCACGUCGGAUGUGAAAGCCCGGGGCUUAACCCCGGGUCUGCAUUCGAUACGGGCUAGCUAGAGUGUGGUAGGGGAGAUCGGAAUUCCUGGUGUAGCGGUGAAAUGCGCAGAUAUCAGGAGGAACACCGGUGGCGAAGGCGGAUCUCUGGGCCAUUACUGACGCUGAGGAGCGAAAGCGUGGGGAGCGAACAGGAUUAGAUACCCUGGUAGUCCACGCCGUAAACGUUGGGAACUAGGUGUUGGCGACAUUCCACGUCGUCGGUGCCGCAGCUAACGCAUUAAGUUCCCCGCCUGGGGGAGUACGGA